UUGGAGGGCAAGUCUGGUGCCAGCAGUCGCGCUAAUUCCAGCUCCAAUAGCGUAUAUUAAAGUUGUUGCAGUUAAAAAGCUCGUAGUUGAAUUUCGGGAUCAAUAUAUCGGUCGUGCCUUCGGUACGUACUGGUAUCAUUGGUUUCUCCUUUCUGACGAACCAUGAUGUCAUUAAUUUGGUGUUAUGGGGAGUUAGGACUGUUACUUUGAAAAAAUUAGAGUGUUUAAAGCAGGC
Molecule: ribosomal RNA, 235 nt
Filed under: uncultured Glomus
Lineage: Eukaryota; Fungi; Glomeromycota; Glomeromycetes; Glomerales; Glomeraceae
Description: partial 18S ribosomal RNA
Rfam family: Eukaryotic small subunit ribosomal RNA
Source: RNAcentral